AGCUAGCCGGGUGAGAAGUAGGACAACAGUCAGAAUCAGAGAAUUUAUCACUUGGCACUUACUCUUUCUCUUUUUGAUCGGAUUCAGCCCCAGACCUUGGGUUAAGCUUUUCCCGGGUUUCCUCUUGAAGCGGCGCAGCCCCAAGUACCAUUUGCCUAUCUCCCACUUCCCAUUGUGCUUUUGAUGGAACCUCUCAAUCGACGGAAAUGCCCCGGUAAGAGCUAUGGACUAACUUCUUUACAGGCAGAGUUAGCAAAGGUACAGCCAGUCCCUCUUUUUUGCCCCUAAGGAACGAAGGACCACCAGGCGAGGAACUCACCGAUAAAGAUUAAGAAAGGAAGGAGCGCCGCUUGCACCCAAUCAAUGGGCCAGCGAAGGUCGGUCCUCUAUUUUAUGGUAUUAUAGUGGAGUCGAAGGACCUACGGGACGCUUACCUCUUAGCAACGAGAUGUGUGCUUUCAGUAAGCGAAGAAGGAAGGGACUCGAGCUUUCAGUUCCGUGAAGAGAACUGAUUCACCAAACCAAACCGUUCAAAAACGACAGUUCGGGCUUCUCUAAACUUUAUGAUGUGAACAGUUCUUGCUUUCAAGCCGUGUUAACCCUAUUAAAUGUCAGUUAGUAAUCGCCAAGCCUCAUGCUGUCGGUAUUGGAAACGUCUUCAGUUCUUUUAUUCAUUCCGUUUAAUCGUAUUUGUAUUUUGAUCGGGGAACGAUGUGGAUUGGUCGGCUCUAUAAGGGAGGAGACAGGAGCUCCAGCCUAGAGACGGUCCUUAGGCCGGACAGAGGUCUGAGGAAAGCCCCGGAAAGGUGGGCUUCACCUUUUUCUCUUCUGUAGCCUUCUAAGGCGAGGCCACCCUAUAUCUAUUCAGGUCUGAGGUGGAGGAGGAGAGCGGGUAUGAGGGCUCCUUCUACCCCUUCUAUGACGAAAGACCUAGGUUGAUUGAUGCCGUGGAUGGUAUAAACUCUGGUUUCCAUUUGCUA
Molecule: long non-coding RNA, 980 nt
Filed under: Vitis vinifera (wine grape)
Lineage: Eukaryota; Viridiplantae; Streptophyta; Magnoliopsida; Vitales; Vitaceae
Description: long non-coding RNA (VVIN_LNC007721)
Source: RNAcentral